RNAcentral lists this ribosomal RNA (2469 nucleotides) under Glyptonotus antarcticus. RNAcentral describes it as "18S ribosomal RNA". It matches the Rfam family "Eukaryotic small subunit ribosomal RNA". Lineage: Eukaryota; Metazoa; Arthropoda; Malacostraca; Isopoda; Chaetiliidae. The record is from RNAcentral.
UACCUGGUUGAUCCUGCCAGUAGUCAUAUGCUUGUCCCAAAGAUUAAGCCAUGCAUGUCUCAGUACAGGCCUACCCAGGGCGAAACCGCAAAUGGCUCAUUAAAUCAGUCAUGAUUCAUUGGAUGUUGUACCAACCCUUACUUGGAUAACUGUGGUAAUUUUAGAGCUAAUACAUGCAAUUGAGCUCCGACCCUGCUGUAACAGGCGGGGGAAGGGCGCUUUUAUUAGAUCAUAAACCGAUCGGACUUCGGUCCGUCUCCCAUAAAGAGCUGUGAUGACUCUGAAUAACUUAGCCGAGCGCUGCGGUCUCCGUACCGGCGCCGUAUCUUUCAAGUAUCUGCCUUAUCAGCUGUCGAUUGUAGGUUAUACGCCUACAAUGGCUGUAACGGGUAACGGGGAAUCAGGGUUCGAUUCCGGAGAGGGAGCCUGAGAAACGGCUACCACAUCUAAGGAAGGCAGCAGGCACGCAAAUUACCCACUCCCGGCACGGGAGGUAGUGACGAAAAAUAACGAUGCGGGACUCUUCCGAGGCCUCGCAAUCGGAAUGAGUCUACUCUAAAUCCUUGGACGAGGAUCCAUUGGAGGGCAAGUCUGGUGCCAGCAGCCGCGGUAAUUCCAGCUCCAUAGCGUAUAUUAAAGGUGCUGCGGUUAAAAAGCUCGUAGUUGGAUUUCUGAUUCGGACCGGCGCCCCAUCCAAGGUACGCCCUCGUCGAUCGGGUGCGGGGCUUCCCGGGUUCGUACCGUCCCGUUGGCUCGGUUGCGUAUUUGUCCCCCUCGUCGAGGUGCGAAAAAGGCAUCUUCUCUUAUUUCCCUUUUAAAGCGGGUCGGGCUAAAUAGAGCGUAGCGCGGGGCUGAAAGGUGUAUUCGCUUUCGGAAUCACGCCGGCGGGUUUACGCCACCCGCGUUCGCGCGAGUGGUAUCGCUCGUUCGGUGCCGUUUUCGCGUUUCCCUUCGCUAAAGGCUCCCGUUACAUCACUCUCCGAUUCGCCGGGGGAUCUAACCGUUGCUUCUUUUCAAUCCAUUCAAAUCGGCGAGGUGUGUCUGCGUUUCUCGUAGCUCGGGGUUAAAAGCGGUCGGAUCGCGGAGGUCUCGUCUCGGGCGAGUUAAGCGUGCCCGGUGGUUCACUGUCCGGCACCGAAUUGAGAAAGCCGUCGGCUUUCACGGGGUGCUCUUCACCGAGUGUCUCGCGUGGCCGAUACGUUCACUUUGAAAAAAUUAGAGUGCUCAGAGCAGGCAACAACUAACGCCUGAAUGGUGGUGCAUGGAAUGAUGGAACAGGACCUCGGUUCUGUCCUUUUGCUCGGUUUUCUGAACCCGAGGUAAUGAUUAACGGGAACAGACGGGGGCAUUAGUAUUGCGACGCUAGAGGUGAAAUUCUUGGACCGUCGCAAGACUAACUACUGCGAAAGCAUUUGCCAAGAAUUUUUUUCAUUUAAUCAAGAACGAAAGUUAGAGGAUCGAAGGCGAGUCAGAUACCGCCCUAGUUCUACCAUAAAACGAUGCUAACUGGCGAUCCGCUUACGUCAUUCCCACGACUGAGCGGGAAGCCCCCGGAAACCAAAGUCUUGAGUUCCGGGGGAAGUAUGGUUGCAAAGCUGAAACUUAAAGGAAUUGACGGAAGGGCACCACCAGGAGUGGACCUGCGGCUUAAUUUGACUCAACACGGGGAACCUCACCAGGCCCGGACACCGGAAGGAUUGACAGAUUGAGAGCUCUUUCUCGAUUCGGCUGGGUGGUGGUGCAUGGCCGUUCUUAGUUGGUGGAGCGAUCUGUCUGGUUGAUUCCGAUAACGAACGAGACUCUACCCUACUAACUAGUCGGCGGAUCGUCUCCCGAGACGGGCCCUUGCUAGGUUGUCAUCGGCGUUCACUUCUUUCGUAUACCCCCGGGAGGUCCGUUUUUCGCUUCGCUUUCGGGUGGGGCGUGGGCGGUCUUUCGGACCAGGUUGCGAGGAAGCGUCGUUGCACCUAGCUUAGGGCCCAGCGAGGGGCGNCCGUCGCAACAUCUUCUUAGAGGGAUCGGCGGCGUCCAGCCGCACGAGAAAGAGCAAUAACAGGUCUGUGAUGCCCUUAGAUGUUCUGGGCCGCACGCGCGCUACAAUGAAGGGAUCAGCGUGCUCUCCCCCUCCGAAAGGAGCGGGUAACCCGUUGAAACCCCUUCCCGAUUGGGAUUGGGGCUUGUAAAUAUUUCCCAUGAACGAGGAAUUCCCAGUAAGCGCAAGUCAUCAGCUUGCGUUGAUUACGUCCCUGCCCUUUGUACACACCGCCCGUCGCUACUACCGAUUGAAUGAUUCAGUGAGGGCAUCGGACUGGCGCCCUCGGUAGCCUUCGGCUCGCAUAAAAAGCUUCGUUUCGGCGAGGUGCGACCGCGGGCACCCCGGGCUGACGGAAAGAUGUCCGAACUUGAUCAUUUAGAGGAAGUAAAAGUCGUAACAAGGUUUCCGUAGGUGAACCUGCGGAAGGAUCAUUA